CCUAGGAGAACCGAUCAAAAAAACAAGCCACAAUGGAGAACUCGUUGAAGGUUGUGGAGCAAAACCCACAAGAGCAAGAGGAGAUAUGAUGGUUGUUUUGUCACGGAGGCGAAGAGAAGCCGACGUGUACUCCUUGCUCACAAGGACUAGGGAGAAAUACAUUUUGAAAAGCUUCGGAUCUACUUUGAAAAUAUCUACUUUGAAAAUCCAAGAUCUGUGAAUAUCUAGUAAAGAUCUACAAAGAUGGAGUAGCUGGAUAGAUAUGCCUCUCAUAGACAAGCUUUCAAUCAGUUGCACACCUUCAUAGAGCCCAUUUAUUUACCAAGUCAUCAUCUUCUUCCUCUUGCUAGGAGCUUGGAAAGUACUUGGAGUUCUUAGAGGUUUGAAAAUAGUUGUUGAAUUUGAGAAAAGCAAAACGUUCUAGUCACCCACGACUAAGAGCGUUGCUGGUUUAGAUAGUAGAAACAAGUUCUUCCGGAACAGAGCGGAGGAGCUCCAGGGAGGACUACCACCGUCCUUUGUUAAGAGCUUGGACUUAACAAGAGACUUAUCUAGCUUUGAGCUUGAAAUGGAUCUUGUCAGAUAUAACUUGAUGCAAUGAAGGGAGCGGAGGUGAAGACGGAGACUUCCAGGGAGGACAUUUUCAGCAGCUGACCACCGGAGAUAGCACAAGCAUGUCGGAGGAAGGAGCUAGAGAUUCAAAAUUUGAAACCUCGGGAAGAGGCCAGAGAGCAUAUUCUCUCUCUACAUCUCUCUCCCUCACAUUACG
This 769-nucleotide long non-coding RNA is filed under the name Brassica napus (rape). RNAcentral describes it as "long non-coding RNA (BNAP_LNC025072)". The record is from RNAcentral. Lineage: Eukaryota; Viridiplantae; Streptophyta; Magnoliopsida; Brassicales; Brassicaceae.